AGCGGCGGACGGGUGAGUAAAGCGGAGGUAACCUGCCCUAUACACACGGAUAACAUACCGAAAGGUAUGCUAAUACGAGAUAAUAUAAGAGAUUCACAUGGACUUCUUAUCAAAGCUGAGGCGGUAUAGGAUGGACCCGCGUCUGAUUAGCUAGUUGGUAAGGUAACGGCUUACCAAGGCGACGAUCAGUAGCCGACCUGAGAGGGUGAUCGGCCACAUUGGAACUGAGACACGGUCCAAACUCCUACGGGAGGCAGCAGUGGGGAAUAUUGCACAAUGGGCGAAAGCCUGAUGCAGCAACGCCGCGUGAGUGAUGAAGGCCUUCGGGUCGUAAAACUCUGUCCUCAAGGAAGAUAAUGACGGUACUUGAGGAGGAAGCCCCGGCUAACUACGUGCCAGCAGCCGCGGUAAUACGUAGGGGGCUAGCGUUAUCCGGAUUUACUGGGCGUAAAGGGUGCGUAGGUGGUCUCUUAAGUCAGGAGUGAGAGGCUACGGCUUAACCGUAGUAAGCUCUUGAAACUGGGAGACUUGAGUGCAGGAGAGGAAAGUGGAAUUCCUAGUGUAGCGGUGAAAUGCGUAGAUAUUAGGAGGAACACCAGUAGCGAAGGCGGCUUUCUGGACUGUAACUGACACUGAGGCACGAAAGCGUGGGGAGCAAACAGGAUUAGAUACCCUGGUAGUCCACGCCGUAAACGAUGAGUACUAGGUGU
RNAcentral lists this ribosomal RNA (710 nucleotides) under uncultured bacterium. RNAcentral's name for it is "bacterial SSU rRNA". It matches the Rfam family "Bacterial small subunit ribosomal RNA", at positions 94 to 823 of the family's 1533-position model. The record is from RNAcentral.